Molecule: long non-coding RNA, 734 nt
Filed under: Phoenix dactylifera (date palm)
Lineage: Eukaryota; Viridiplantae; Streptophyta; Magnoliopsida; Arecales; Arecaceae
Description: long non-coding RNA (PDAC_LNC011067)
Source: RNAcentral
ACUCAUGCUUUCCUUGGGUCGACCCAACUCACUGUUCAUCUUGGCCAUUUUUGCAAAAGUGUGCCAAAUGUUUUCUUGAUGUGCCGGGGUCGACCCAAUCAUUCUUUGGGUCGACUCAAUCCACACUUUGCUGCAUCUCAAGGUUAGAUUCAUUCAAAUGAACAAUGAAAUGUAUCUACAUCAAUUCAUACAAAUAUACUGAGAGUAAUGGACUUAUAAAUGAAGUAUCGAUUUAACUUAUAACAUACUCUAGAUAAUUGCUUGUUAAUCAUCAAAAUAACAAUAUCAUCCUCAAUCUCCCCCUUUUUGAUGAUUACAAAAUAAAGAGUAUGAGCCUAUUGAUACUUGUCUUUAAAAUCAGUUUUUGAAAGGGCUUAACUUGCUGAAUUUCAGCUUUUCAUAUAUAAGAGUGAAGUCUCCCCCUAUAUUAUUUAAAUGUUGCCAAUUUAACUUUUUGAAUUACUCCCCCUUUCAUUUAUAAUUCAUUAAAGAUGAAACUCCAAAAAUUUGAGAUAAAACAUGAGUUUCAGGUUAUGUAUCGAGGUGUGAAAGGUGCGUGCCAAAUUCUGAAAUUAUAUGUGCCAAGUUCUGAAAUUUGAUAGAAGUUUUGGAUUUGAAGAUUUUCAUUGUUGCAAAUUGCUCCCCCUUAGAUGUAUAUGCUUUCUUAUAUGAUUUUCAAUUUGUUUCACAAGUUAUUUCUCUCUUCUUACACAAGUUCAUAACUUCUUAUUUCA